UUCUGCCCAGUGCUCUGA
Molecule: non-coding RNA, 18 nt
Filed under: Arabidopsis thaliana (thale cress)
Lineage: Eukaryota; Viridiplantae; Streptophyta; Magnoliopsida; Brassicales; Brassicaceae
Also listed under: 2 other names
Source: RNAcentral